RNAcentral lists this ribosomal RNA (253 nucleotides) under uncultured bacterium. Its description in RNAcentral is "partial 16S ribosomal RNA". It matches the Rfam family "Bacterial small subunit ribosomal RNA", at positions 524 to 776 of the family's 1533-position model. The record is from RNAcentral.
UACGUAGGGAGCAAGCGUUGUCCGGAUUUAUUGGGCGUAAAGAGCUCGUAGGCGGUUCCGUAAGUCGGGUGUGAAAAAUCUGGGCUCAACCCAGUGGAGCACUCGAUACUGCGGUGACUCGAGUCCGGUAGGGGAGUGUGGAAUUCCUGGUGUAGCGGUGAAAUGCGCAGAUAUCAGGAGGAACACCAGCGGCGAAGGCGGCGCUCUGGGCCGGAACUGACGCUGAGGAGCGAAAGCGUGGGUAGCAAACAGG